CUAUGCAUUUCUCCACUGUUCGUUCUUUUGAAAAAUGAAGGGCAUGGCUCUUUGAGGGUGCCUUUCAUUUCAGGGUCCCAUGUGAAGCUAUUCUGUCGUAUUUUAAAGCAGUUGCAAUAGCAAUCUAGAAUGUGUUUUAUCAAUGCGUCAAGAGGUGAAUAAUCAACGCUGUAGUUCAGUGAUACUCACCCUUUCUAAGUGGUCUUUGGCGUCUCGCUGGAUGCUUUUUGCAAAAAAUGCGGAUGCAAUUGUUUCGUAGCUAGUUUUCUCAACUGGAAACUGAGAAAUGCUGUUGACAGUCCAUAUUCUAGGAACUUGUCAUUCAGCUUGGGAUUUUCAGCAUUUAUUUUCAUGCAUUACUUCAAGUUAGAAUGUAACUUAAAGGCAUUAAAAAGUUAGAAGAAUAAACCAGGGGAAAACCCGUGUUCUUGCAUCUGUAAUUCUGCAUUCUAAUGUCUUGCUAAAAUGCUCUUUUGUGUAUGUCUGUUUGUGUGUAUGAAAAGAGGGGAGCAUUGAUGAUGUUAGCUGGGAAUUCACAGUCCCUUUGUAAAAUACUGCCUGAGAAUCUCACUUACUCCUUUUGUAUGUUUGCCUAGCUUUCCAAGUUAAACAUUGUUCCACUGAGCUCUUUUUCUCUGCAAUUGUAUUUUAACGUGUGUGUGUGUGUGCACUGUGUGGUAGUUCAGUUAUGCUCUGGAGUGUGUUGAAAAUGCCAGCCUGACAUAUUGCUAAUGAGUGUGCAUAUUGACAGUGACGGGGGCGUGUGUCUGUCUGUGUGCCAUAUAUUAAAACAAAAAGAGGAGAGAGACGGAGACACAGAGAGACAGAGAGACAGAGAAGGAAAUAUUGGGAUGGGAAAGAACAGUUUGUUUACAUUACGUGAGAUGUGAUUGCAGACAGCGCGCGGCCGGGCUGUGGUGGAACUGGCCAGUGGCAACCUGCCUUUGCGGUGCUGGCUCCCGCCGGAGCAGCCGUGCCACGGGGAUGCUGAGCUUGGGAGCAGUGCCUGCCAGGAGCCUUCGCGUGCAGGAAUGCCGGCAGGAGAGCAUGGAGCGUCAGCGAGGUAAGCGGCGCAAGCCACUGUGGAUGUGCUCGAUCCGCGAGCGGAGACCCCGGGCCGGGUGUCACAGGUGAGGGUCCCUGCCCAGCCUCGCGGGACGGCGUGCCGGAGAUGGGUUGCUCACCUGUGCGAGCCGUGGCAGAAUUAGAAACUGAGUUGCAUCCAUGUUCUUUGAGAUGCAUUUUUCUUCUCCCCGACCCUUAAACGUCAGAUGUACAAGCUUGCAGAACUGUACUUUUGACUGACAGAGCGCUUCCUCCAGCACAGGCUGAAUGCAGGUGUGUGAAUUGCUGCGCUGCUUCAGGGAUAUGAUUCCCAUCCUUCCUGCAAGGGUGAACAAGCUGCUGCUUAGGCUGUAGCCAGUAUGUCUUGCUGGAUGGGUAGGAUCAGGGCAUGAUCGUAGUAGAUGUCUAAAACCUGUGGGAUUACUUUGCACGUGUAAAGUCUUGCAGGUGGUUGUCAGAGUUGCUGUGGCUAUGCUACUGAACAGCACUUUAAAAAAAUCUAGAAAGUUAAUUUCCAAUAGAUCUUAUACUGCUUCACAUUACAGUUUGUAUCUGGGUGUGCAAACUUUAUUACUUAAUAUUGAAUUGGAAAGACCUCAGUAAUAUGCUUGCUGAAUUUUUUAUAAAUCUUUCAUUAAAAGUUAAACACUUAGGAAUUCCUCCCAGAGUAUUGGCCUGACUCUUUAUUUUUGUUUAGCAGAAAAAAUUAAUAUCAGGGCAGUGAUUUGUUUUAUAAUGAAUUACACUUAACUUCCGCAGGGUAAGAGAUCAGGGUGUUGUUAUAAAGCAGCAUACUGUCAAAAAAUCCUUCUGGAGGACUACAAUGACUCUCUGAGGACUUAAAUUUACACUGACUCCAUCCGUUAUAAAUGGAUCCAGUUCACAUAUUUUUGUUGCCUUGUUAGGAAAUUAUAUUUUUGUUAAAAGCACCAAAAUAAUGGUAAACUAGAAGUAGUUUUGUUAUUUGGGGUUGGUUUAACUUGUGUGAACAAGUCCUUCAAGGAUUACUGUCUCCUUUCUUCACCUGCCAGUCCUGAAGAGGGAGGCAAGAGAGUCAGGUCUGCCCCCA
Molecule: long non-coding RNA, 2134 nt
Filed under: Zonotrichia albicollis (white-throated sparrow)
Lineage: Eukaryota; Metazoa; Chordata; Aves; Passeriformes; Passerellidae
Description: lncRNA (ENSZALG00000010667.1)
Source: RNAcentral